UUCGUCCCCACAGCGGCUGCUCAUCCGCCCCCACCCCCCAAGCGCUGGAGCUGACGCUGUGGGAGCAGCAGCGCGGGACUGGGCCCUGGAAGCCCGCUGGAGCCGGGACCCAGGCCCCUCAGCUGUUUUCUUCAUCUGGGCAAGUCAAGGGGCCAGCCCAACCUGGAUAGGGUCUGUCGGAGAGAAACUCAUCUGUGCUAAAGCCUAAUUCCUUUCUGUGGCUACUGUAACACAGAUUCCACAUGGGUGCCCGCACCCCUUCCAGAGAGCAGAGAUCAUGGGGUUUUCAGUGUCCAUCCUGAACACGCAUCAGCCACCAACACCAAAAGGGAGGGACAGUCCCGGCCAGAGCCCCUGAGCCUAUGUCAGGUUCAUCCCCAAGAGCCUGUCACCCACCCAAGGCCCCAGGAGAGCUGUUGCGUUGGUAACAGCAGAAGUGGAGCAGGGAGGUGGUAGAUGCCCAUCUCCCGGUGAGGGAAGUGGGACCCAAUGGCUCUGCCCGUGCAGUAGCUGACGAGGUCAGGGCUGUCCCCGGCACCUGACCUCACAUCUGGGGCAGAACAGCACCCUGACCUUCCAGAAAUAGCCAUGCCGGUACCUUAUUUGCCCCCAGCUGAUGAGCACCAAGUUGAGGAUGCCCUGGGGGACAGCCAUACUCCUGGUCACAGUGCAGGGCCCAGUGGUGGCCUUGGAGCCAUGGGUGUGUGGGGCAGCUGAGCCGGGGCCCAGCGUGUCCCCAGCUGCCACCAGGGACGUUGCAGGGGCAGCAGAGGCAGCUCUGGCCCUGCCCCCAGCCCCAACUCCUGAAGUCCCCCCACUCCACCUCCAAGGCCAGACCUGUCCUUCAUUUUCCUGGGAUAAUUUGUUUCUCUGCCAAUUUUCUCACUUCCUCGGCCCUGUUUGUCAUGUUCCUUAAUAAAAUGUAGUUUGUCACCCGGUGUGAAGUGUACAAUUCAGCACAGUGUGAGAUUCCCAGGCCAUUCCUUCCCCACCCACCUCUCGCUGCAGAACGCGGCCAACGCCAAGGACUGGGAUCCUCUGGAGGGGACACUGACACAUCCCCGGGGCACAGACACUGCUGUCUGUCUUGGACAGGGAGCAGUGACUGCUGGGAAGGCCAAGGAAGACAACCAGCAGGGAGACACUGUCAUGGCUGGGGCAGCGCCUCCUCAUGGUCAGGGACGCGGGCUCUGGGGUCAGAUGGAACUGACCUGCAGUGGGACUGCCCAUGCAGCCUCAGUGUCCCCAUCUGUGAAAUAGGAUGGAGCCCCACCCGCAGACAUCACAGGGACAGGGAAUGGGAUGGCCUGCCCCUCCCUGCACACACUGGGAGCCCCCAGCUCCCGGGAUGAGGAGUGCACAGUGGGGAUAAGGAAGCAGGGGUGGGGCUUUCUCCCACUGAGGGCAGAGCCUCGGGUCGGGGCCAUGCUCACACAAGAGCCAGCACAGUCCCUGUUCCCGUGCUCAGCAGGGGGGCUGGCAGAAGCACAGCAGGGAUUCGCCCAGCUGUGGGAGCCCUGAUGUCCACAGCACAGGACAGGAAGUGGGCUGGGUCCAUGACCCCCACGUGACCUCAGACAGGCCACUGUGCAGGUGGAUCCUGGACAACCCCAACGACAGUGACCGGUCCUGUAUCUGACCUCCUGGGAUGUGCAGGGCCCAGGCCAGGCCCUGGGCACCACGUGUCACCCAUGGGAAAGCCACUGCUGUCACCCUGGGUUUGUAGAUGGGGAACAGCUCUGAGAGGGAAGCCCCUGCCCAGGUCUCGGCUGUGGUGGC
This is a non-coding RNA of Oryctolagus cuniculus (rabbit), 1779 nucleotides long. NCBI's taxonomy places the organism in Eukaryota, Metazoa, Chordata, Mammalia, Lagomorpha, Leporidae. The record is from RefSeq and is a predicted model, not a curated record.